AAAAAGGUUGGGGACGUCUUUUCCAUUGUGGCUUUAGAGGGACUGUACUCCUGUCCUUUAUCCACACAUGAUUACCUAGUGAGAAAGGGUGAACUGGGGAGAAAAAGGCUUACAGGACAUUUGUUAUUUACUUAGGUUGAAGUAUCCUAAGCGAUUUUCCCUAGGGCUAGUAACUCACAUCCUAACUCAAUUUUUCCCCACUCCCGAGGAGUUCCCGGGAGUGCCCAGAGUAGGGGAGGGGCCUAUGGUGUAACACUUAAUAGGGGAAUAUCUUGUUUUUCUUAGAGGGGGUGCAUCUAAUUUUGAAUAGCACUAAGGGAAGUGCCUGCACCCAUUUUAAUCUUGUUUCCUGACAUACUUUCCCUAAGCUGUUUUUGAUGGUUCAGUUCAUUCUUUCCACUUUUCCAGAACCCUGAAGUCGGUAGGCAGCAUGCAGUUUCCAG
Molecule: long non-coding RNA, 443 nt
Organism: Sapajus apella (tufted capuchin)
Lineage: Eukaryota; Metazoa; Chordata; Mammalia; Primates; Cebidae
Exons: 3
Source: RefSeq, a predicted model, not a curated record